RNAcentral lists this long non-coding RNA (3514 nucleotides) under Homo sapiens (human). RNAcentral describes it as "HSALNT0218718". Lineage: Eukaryota; Metazoa; Chordata; Mammalia; Primates; Hominidae. The record is from RNAcentral.
CCCAGGAACCGGCAGCCUAUGUGCUGAUCCGAUGCAGAGCUAAUCUUUUCUGAGACAUCCUCUCCUUCAGGGUCCAGCCUCCCAUAGUUUUGCUUCCCUGGGACAUGCUCUUCUCUGUGUCAACCCAAAGUCUGAAAAUGGCCCAUCAACUUUUCCCAUGGAAGGUCUGCCCUACCCUGCUUAAUCUGAGAUCAAGCACAGGCCCUAUAAGUGUACAUCUGGGUCAUGCUCUAUGAAGAGACUGUUGUUAUCAAUGAGUUCGAUGCAUAUAUUUGUUAGCACUGACAGAUUCAGACACAGAUAUUUUCCACCUCCAAUGUUCAGAUCUGGUGUAGCUGCUGGGAGCCCUGGGCUGGAUAUGUACCCAGGUGACUCAUGGGGAAGGAUGCACCCUUCUGAGAAGCAUCACCUUUCUCAAGAAGCAUGACAGAGCUCCCGAUAUUAGACUUUCAAGACGUCUACCAGGCCUUCUUUGGAAUAAAUUGUGUCAUUGAAUGGGAAGAAGAGCUGCCAGGUCCUGGGAGAACAAGAACAGUGCUUUCUCCAAAUUUUAACAGGAGUACACGGUGGGAGUGAGAGCUAGUUUUCCUGUAGUAGAAGCUGAAGACAGAGUAAAAAUAAUUAACUCAUGGGAAAAAUAAAUAAACAAACAAUUGGACUCAGCCAGAGGAAAAAGAUAGUUAAAACCAAAACAUGUAACGCAACCUAGAACAGUCUGUGUAAUCUAGCCUCUGCUGUCAACUUAAUCUACCAUCACGUGCCCCAUUAUUCACGGGGCUCCACCUUGUAUUCCAGUUGUUCCUCUCUGGAACAUUUUAUGUCUUUUCUCUCUGAGGGACUCAGCUCUUGGUAUUUGCCUUGCUCAGAAAUCUCUUCCAUAGAUCUUCACAAUGGCCGGCUUGUCUUAGGUCUUAGUUCAAAUAUCACCCGCUCAGAGAGACCUUGCCUGACUUCCACUAUAUACAUGGAGGGUUUCCAGAACAAAUGAAGGUAUUGAACAAAUGAGCUCCAUAAAAAUGGAAACAGGGUGCUCUGCUUGGUUUUUCAGAAAAAUGGAAAUAGCGGCCUCACACAUAGAGUUGACAUUCCUGAGAUUAUCCAGUAGAUCUGGACUCUGGAGCUCUGAGUCUAAAUGUACUGCUAUCCAGACAGAGUCUGCAGAGGGACCUCUUGUCAUUAACUACUGUGCACCUACAAUUUGUUAUCAAUGAAAUGUGUGUAGCUUUUAUUUCAUGGCCUUGGGAAGCAUCCUUAAAUCUUUUAUCCUUUAGUUUCUUCAUCUGAGGUUAACAAUAUAUGUAUUUUGAAAGGCUAUAGAAACUGGGAAGAAACAUUUGCAACUUAUAGCACAAAGAGUUAAUAACCAUAAUAUGUAAAGAGCUUCAAAAAAUAUAGAAGAAAAAAGCCAACACAUCUAUGAAAAAUGGGUUGGAAAUAUGAGCAGAGAGUUCACAGAAAAAGAAAGGAAAAUGGAUCCUGCAUAUAUGAAAAGACUCUCAACCAUACUUUCAGUGAAUACACUUUCAAACUUCAUUGAGAUACAAUAUUCUCUCCUGUCAGGCUGACAAAAAUCUAAAAGAUUGACAGCAUAUUUUGUUGGUGAGGCUGUGGUGAAAUAGAUGCUUCCAUACAUUGCUAGUGGGAAUGUAAAAUGGCAUAAGCCUCAUGAAUGGGAAUUUGAUAUAUCUAGUAAAAUUACAUAUGCAUUUUCCCUUUGAUCCAGUAAUCCAACUUCUAGGAAUCUAUCCAAAAAUAUGUUGUAAAACUACACAAAUACUUUUAUAUGUGACUAUACAUUGCAGCAUUGUUUAUAAUAGCAAAAGCUUGGAAAUUGGUUGAAUAAGGCAAUGGAAGGUCCACUCAGUGGAAUACUAUGCAGCUAUAAACAACAAGAAGACGACCUCUGUAUUAGUCUGCUUUCAUGCUGCUGAUAAAGACAGAUUUGAGACUGGGCAAUUUAUAAAAGAGGUAUAUAAUGGACUUACAGUUCCACAUGGCUGGGGAAGCCUCACAAUCAUGGUGGAAGGUGAAAGGCACAUCUCACAUGGCAUCAGACAAGAGAAGAGAGCUUGUUCAGGGAAACUCCCCUUUUUAAAACCAUCAGAUCUUGUGAGACUCAUUCGCUGUCACGAGAAUAGCAUGGGAAACACCCGUCCCCGUAAUUCAAUCACCUCCCACGACAUGUGGAAAUUAUGGAAGUUUCAAUUCCAGAUGAGAUUUGGGUGGGGACACAGCCAAACCAUAUCAACCUCUAUACAUUGCCAUGAAGCGAUGACCCCAAUAACAUGUUCAGUGAGGAGAAUUCUUGGCCCUUGUGUAUUUUUUUUUUCUUUAAGUAAUCUGCAUUGAACAAGUCUUAAAUUUACAGUUAGAAAAAUCAAUAGUAUAUUUUGUUUUAUUUUGAAUUACCCAGAAGCUCAUGAACUUUCUGACCAAAAUCCUUUCCCAGAAAGUUUGUCAGUUGAGAACCUGUGAAGUCCAAUUCAUUUAUAUGUUAAGAUUUGUGCUAUGGGAUGUUGACAGCCUGGUGAAAUUGACCCAGCCUGGCAUGAUCCUGGAGUCUAUUUGAAAGGUGCAGGUUCAGAAAGCAGAGUGCUUCACAGGCUGCCACAUUCCUCUGAAGAUAAUCUGCAGGUUGUACCUGCUGCCACUAGGCUGUUAGGCUGCCUAGGGGAUGGUUGCUGGCUGGAUUAACCAGAUUUGCCAUUGGCAGGUGGGAGAUUUGCACCCCCAGAAUUAGGCUUGCUACUCCAUUAAGCUUUUGACCACCUAAUUUAAACCAUAUUAUUAUUUUCUAAAUAGGCAACACAUUUACAUUUUAAAAUGCAAAGAGUACAAAAAGAUAGGCCAUGAAAUGUCUUUCUGACCUGGUUCCCCAGGCAUGAAGUUUCCCUCCCAAAGGCAACUAAUCUGAUAGGAGAAUGAGGAAAGGAAGAGGAAGAAAGUCAAUAAGGCCAAUAUUGGGAAGGUUACACUUGAGGAGACCUGGGGCUCAAACCUUCUAGGGCACUGGGAGCCAGUGUAAAAUUUAUCCUGUCUUGUGGAUUUUAGAUAAUCUGUGUGUAUAGGGGAGAUAUUUUAUACAGCAGCAGCAGGCUAUCCACAUUGUGCCAUACCUCGCUUUUGUGUGACUUAAUAUCUCUUGGUAAUUGUUCCAUGUCAGUGCCCAAAAAGCUUCCUCAUUCUUUUUUUUGCAACUGUUCAGUUAUCUAUUUAUGGUUACAUCAUAUUAUAUUUAACCCAUUCUUUACUGGUGUCUGCUCCCAUUUGUUGUUCCAUUUUGAGCACCAGAUUUUAAAACUCAUUCCUAUAGGACACACAAAGGAUUUUAUUUCCUAGGAAGAGCUCCAUGGCUCCCUGACUUGCUCAACUGUUUUAAACCCCCACCCCACAUGGAAUAAGCACACUUCACCAUUCUCUCACAACAACAAUUAAGUCAACUUAUCUUUGAAUAAGUAGCUGGGGGUGGCGGGGACACACCCCUGAAGUGUGGGUUUAGGUUUGUUUGAUUGGG